UUGCUUUGGCAGUACGCAUACUAAAAUUAGAACAAUACAGAGAGAAUGAACAUGGUCCCUCACAAAGAUGACCUGAAAAUUCAUGAAGCAUUCCAUAUUUUU
Molecule: small nuclear RNA, 102 nt
Organism: Dromiciops gliroides (monito del monte)
Lineage: Eukaryota; Metazoa; Chordata; Mammalia; Microbiotheria; Microbiotheriidae
Source: RefSeq, a predicted model, not a curated record